RNAcentral lists this transfer RNA (74 nucleotides) under Gracilibacteraceae bacterium. Its description in RNAcentral is "tRNA-Trp". It matches the Rfam family "tRNA". From Rfam's summary of the family: Transfer RNA (tRNA) molecules are approximately 80 nucleotides in length. Their secondary structure includes four short double-helical elements and three loops (D, anti-codon, and T loops). The record is from RNAcentral. Lineage: Bacteria; Bacillati; Bacillota; Clostridia; Eubacteriales; Gracilibacteraceae.
AGGGGAUUAGUUUAAUGGUAGAACAGCGGUCUCCAAAACCGUCGGUGUAGGUUCGACUCCUGCAUCCCCUGCCA